RNAcentral lists this ribosomal RNA (253 nucleotides) under uncultured bacterium. Its description in RNAcentral is "partial 16S ribosomal RNA". It matches the Rfam family "Bacterial small subunit ribosomal RNA", at positions 524 to 776 of the family's 1533-position model. The record is from RNAcentral.
UACGAAGGGUGCAAACGUUGCUCGGAAUCAUUGGGCGUAAAGCGCACGUAGGCGGCCUCAAAAGUCGGAUGUGAAAUCCCGUGGCUCAACCAUGGACGUGCAUUCGAAACUGCGAGGCUUGAGUAUGGAAGAGGGUCGCGGAAUUCCCGAUGUAGAGGUGAAAUUCGUAGAUAUCGGGAGGAAUACCAGUGGCGAAGGCGGCGACCUGGGCCAAUACUGACGCUGAGGUGCGAAAGCGUGGGGAGCAAACAGG